UAGAGUUUGAUCAUGGCUCAGAUUGAACGCUGGCGGCAGGCCUAACACAUGCAAGUCGAGCGGAAACGAGAAUAGCUUGCUAUUCGGCGUCGAGCGGCGGACGGGUGAGUAAUGCCUGGGAAAUUGCCCUGAUGUGGGGGAUAACCAUUGGAAACGAUGGCUAAUACCGCAUAAUAGCUUCGGCUUAAAGAGGGGGACCUUCGGGCCUCUCGCUUCAGGAUAUGCCCAGGUGGGAUUAGCUAGUUGGUGAGGUAAAGGCUCACCAAGGCGACGAUCCCUAGCUGGUCUGAGAGGAUGAUCAGCCACACUGGAACUGAGACACGGUCCAGACUCCUACGGGAGGCAGCAGUGGGGAAUAUUGCACAAUGGGCGCAAGCCUGAUGCAGCCAUGCCGCGUGUAUGAAGAAGGCCUUCGGGUUGUAAAGUACUUUCAGCAGUGAGGAAGGGUGUGUAGUUAAUAGCUGCAUACUUUGACGUUAGCUGCAGAAGAAGCACCGGCUAACUCCGUGCCAGCAGCCGCGGUAAUACGGAGGGUGCGAGCGUUAAUCGGAAUUACUGGGCGUAAAGCGCAUGCAGGUGGUUUGUUAAGUCUGAUGUGAAAGCCCGGGGCUCAACCUCGGAACCGCAUUUGAAACUGGCAGGCUAGAGUACUGUAGAGGGGGGUAGAAUUUCA
This 673-nucleotide ribosomal RNA is filed under the name uncultured Vibrionaceae bacterium. RNAcentral's name for it is "bacterial SSU rRNA". It matches the Rfam family "Bacterial small subunit ribosomal RNA", at positions 1 to 671 of the family's 1533-position model. Lineage: Bacteria; Pseudomonadati; Pseudomonadota; Gammaproteobacteria; Vibrionales; Vibrionaceae. The record is from RNAcentral.